AUCAAAUUCUCAGAUACUCCUCAGAUUCAAAAUUUAGUCUCAAAUACUCCUGAGAAUUUGAUCAAAUUCUCAGAUACUCCUCAGAUUCAAAAUUUAGUCUCAAAUACUCUUCAAUGGUAGAAAGACAAAAUUACCCUUAAUGAGGGUUGAUUUCGGGUGAUAAGGGUUAAAUACAAUUAAAUCGGUAAGUGUUCAACGAAAAACACAAUAGCUCAGUGGUUGCGAGCUCCAUGCGGACGCGCGCGCCCCCAGAGUUCGAAUCCUUUUAUACGGGUUGUAACUGGUACAACUAGGAAAUAUUCGGGAAUAUUCUGGUACAUCUACGUUGUAGUACUACAACUAGGUGGUACAACUAGGAGGAGGUACAACUAGGUGGUACAACUAGAGAGGUACCAGUUGUACCACGUAUACCUAGUAAAUGGGUAGUUUCGUCCUUUCAUUAAAAGGAGGAGAGUAUGUGGAUUAGAGGAGAGUAUGUAGAUUAAUUCUUUGAUUCUGAGGAGCAAUUGAGAUUAAUCCCCUUGGAUGGAGUUUCACAAUUGUAGCAAAAAGCCAAUCCACACCUGCAAAAAUGUUAAAAGGUAAGAGCUUUGUAACACAGAGAAAACGAAAAAGACGGCGAAGAAGAUACCUGCACAUCAUGUAUAAGCAACCCUCAGAUUUUUCAAUGUAAAAUUUGCAAGAAGGACAUCUUUUCCACUUGUUACUCUCUGCCAUAUUCUUCAACAAUAUAUCACCUCGUUCUCUUUCGUUCUCGGCUAGCUUCUGAAAAUCUUGGCAAGUAAUCUCCGGAUGCCACUUAGUUCCACACUCUACACACACCAUUCUAUGGCAAUGAGGACACUCCGAUUCCGUCAUCUUCACUUCACUCUCGUCCAAGAAGAGCAAAGCAGAGCAAUCCUUAUAUGGACAGUAGAAUCUCUUUGAACCCAUAAUCACCGCCUCACAAAGAGCAUCUCCCCACCGAUCAAAGACUUCUCUUGGCAGGAUUUGUCGGCAUUUAUCGGGCCCGAGCUGCCCCGAGCAACCAGAAACAGGGCAUUUGAUUGAGAGGAUGUUGUCUUGUAACUUAGCAGCUAUAUAUUUUGAGACAUAAUCAUUACAUUAGGAAUGAGAGCAUCCAUUGAUUCGAAAAGAUUCAAUUUUGGUUUCCUUUCAACACAUAUCUCGCAGUCAAAGGAGCGUCUUCGUGAAGAGGACUGUCCCUUUUCUAUGGAGAUUGGUGUGAAACAGAGGACUCUAAGAUCAUCGUCUUCGUCGUUGUAUUGAUCAAGAUCUAUUAAGUUUGAGAAUUCGGAUUUGUAUGGAGUUUGAGGAGAGUGAAACCGACGAUAAAGGUGGCGAUCACGGUCGUAAUCCUCGACGGAGAUGGCGUCACGUUUGGUUGAACCAUAACUGGAGAGAGGUGUUGAGAAGAUGAAACGGUCGGAGUUGUUGUCGCCGUCGUCAUUGACGGUGGCUGCAUUCAUGGACUCUGUGGCCAUUUUUCUGAUUAGGGUUUUUAUGAUUUUUCGAUUUUCUUGCUUGUCUUGUUGGGUUGGUUUCUGAAGCGUCUCAUUUUUGGUGAUGCUAAAACCUAAACCUAGGACUGUCCCAAAACUGCUCCGAUCCGUAUUUAAAUUUUAAAGGGAAAUUAUGAGAUAUAUCAAUAUUGAUACAUAUAUACAUAUAUCCGUACUACUAAAAUCUAUACAUAUAGCCACGGCCUAGCCACAACGUGUCCGUGGCUAAAUAUAAGUAGCCACGAAAAAACCACGAACUAGCCAUAAAAUACUUUAAAAAACUUCCGUGGUUAAUUUGUAGCAAAUCUGUGGCAAAAUGCCACGAAAAAGCUACCGAUUUAAUCGUGACAAUAUACCUACAGACAUAGCCACAAAAUAUCCGUGUUAAAUAGCCACGACCAAAAAACGUGGUAACCUCGUGGCUAUCUUUCCUACGAAUAUGUCCGUGGCAAAACCGUGGCUAAUUUCGAAUAUAUUUGUUGUCUUAAGACAAUUCUGAUUAUGAAAAUUUACCGGUUGAUGAUUCUGAUGACGAGUAUGUAUCAGAAGAUGAUAUAGAAGAGCAGUGUGAUGAUUCUGAUUCCAACUCCGAUUAAGUUUUACAUUUAUAUAAUUAUGUCUAAUUGUUAAUUGUUGUUGUUUUCAAUAUAUAUGUCAUAUUUUAGGAAUAAUAAAUCUAUUUCCAAAAUAAAAUUAGAAUUGAAAAUUUAAAAUCUGUAUUUAAACUAAUAAAUUAUUUAAACCGAUAAAUUUUCAAAUUACUAAAUCUUAAAAUUCUGUACUUAAACUAAUAAACUAAUAAGUUAUCACAAUUAAGUACCAAAAAAAUAAGUUAUCACAAUUUGUUAAUAACAUUGGAGGGAGAUUUGGGCGGGUUAGGAAAAUUUGGGCCUUAAUAUUUUGGGUUUAUGGAGGGAGAUUAAAAUAUUCACAAGGGGGGAAACCUAAUUGUGGAUUUUAAUCUCUCUAGCCCCUUUGGGGAGAAUCAAUUUUUGGAAAACACCUCUUUAUUCUCAUUACCCCCUCUCCUUCCCAAUUUUUCCAUAAACCAACUUUACCCCUUAUCCCUUUAAUUCUACAUUUAAUUUAAUACCAACACAUUUUUUAUUCAACCAAUCACAAACUUUCUCUCUCUUCUCUCAUUAAAAAACAAACCUACCAAAUGUCUCACCUUUUAGACAUUAAACUUACGAGACUUUCAACAGCUCCGACGUUGCAGCUCCGACGUUGCAGCUCUGACGUUCGUCUUCUUCUUCUUCUUCUCCAUCUACCAUUGAAGCUGACCAUUAAAGCUUGCAUCUCCAAAGACAUAUUUCUUCUCUUCUUCUUCUUCUAUUCCCACCAUACUGUAAGGUAAAUAUACUUUUUCUUAGUGUAGUAUGAUUAAGUUGAAUUCGUAGCUUGAAUAGGGUUAUUUGUUGAAAUAUUUUAGGAUUGCAGAUUUGGGACAACUGAAACCACUAGGUACAACUAAGUAGAUUAUUUACGGAAACCCUAAGUUUGGUGCAACUGGGACAAAUGUGUACAACUAUGUUGAUAGUCUGCUACGAAAGUUGUGAAAUUAUAGGCCGUUUUUUCUCUCUUUCUUUUUCAGGGACAAUGAAAAGGAAUUCAGUCAUACGAUUUGCUUAUGACGGAUACUAUACAAGUAUCGGAGAAGAUGUACAUUGGAUUUCUAAUGGAGAAGAUGAAGAAGCAAAACAUGCAGUUGUAGACGUUUUGAUAUAGACAAGUAUCCAUAUGUGCAUGCGAUAGCGGCUACACUUACGGCAAACAAGGAUGCAGCUCCUGAGCUCCGGGCACAUGACUUGUGCUCAAAGUAUUAUUGGAUCGAAAUUUGGGUUUUGGCGUACACGAGGGCAAUUUAUCCGGUUCCCCAUAAUAGUCAAUGGGUUCUUCCUGAGGAGAUCAUGCAACUGUUUGCAUAUCCUCCGGAUUAUGAGAUAAAACAAGGAAGAAGACAAGAAACAAGAUUCUCUUCCGUUGGAGAGCAUAGAGGACGUAAGAAGAGGUCGCAUGGAGCGAGCGGUUUGGGCGAGUGGUUUACCAAUGAUGGUGACGUUGAUGGAGACAAUGCGGGUGACCAAGGUUGAUUUCUCAGUACUAUUUAUUAGGUUAAUUUAAGAAAUGAUGUUGUUUGUAUUGGUUUUGUUUGUGAAACUUAUAUGUUCUGUGUUGUACAACUAAGUUUUAGCAGGUACAACUAUGGUUAAUUUCCUUUUCGUAUCUGUGCAAAUUUUGUAAUGCCUUGGCCAAUUUUCAGAAUUUUAUAUAAUAUGAAAAUUUCCUUGUCAGUCUGGGUACAACUAAGUACCACAAGUACAACUAAGGUCUAAUGCCUUGGCCAAUUUUCAGAAUUUUAUAUAAUAUGAAAAUUUGAAACCAAAUUAAAAAAAAAACUUUAAAAAGGCAUACACGAUGGUAAUGAAACUACACAACAAGUUUUUAACAAAAAAUUUCAUAUUUUUAAAAAAAUACUGAAAUUCUUACUCAAAAUCCCACAUUCAUACACUAACAACCUUAUACUUUCGAGAGUUCACCUCUUGUGCCACUAAUCGAGAAUCGGUAAUCUCUUAUGCCACUAUUAUGUUUUAUCUUUAUUUUUGAAUUUCUUAAAAAUCGAAAAACUGAGUAAAUGACCAUAAAACCAAACGAAUUUCUCUUAUUUACGACCCAACCUAAAAUCCAUAUUAUUUACCCUAAUAUGUAAAAUUUCUCUAAGUUUUUCAGAUCGAAAACUGUAAAAACCUAAUCUCAUUCUUCCAUUCUCACUCGAAACUCAAACUACUCUCGAGAAAACGAAGAGUCCGACGAAUUCCGAUGAAUUCCGACACCACUCUCAUCGGAAAUCUUGCUUCUCCGGCGUAUCGUCGUUUGCGUGUACUCCGUCAUUCGUCUCCUCUGUCUCCUCCUCGGUGGUUUGUCUUUUCGUCUCCUCCGACUCCGUUCAGCGUGUCUUCGUCUCGUUCUUAUAUUGCUCGCGUGAAAGGUAGAGAUAACAGGAUAUAUGAAUCAACAGAAGGGUCUCGAGAAGGGGCUGCAAAUCCGGAUCCAACAGAAGCUUCGACGGACGCUUCAGUUCCAACAGAAGCUUCGACGGACGCCGCAGUUCCAAAAGAUGCUCCGACGGAUGCCGCUUAUCCAACAGAAGCUCCAAUGGAUGCCGCUGUAAUUGGUCCAACAGUGGAAUCCGCAGAAGCAGCCACCGAAUUAGUAGUUUUUUCGGUUCCGGAAUUGUCUGAUAAAGAAGAGAAAGAAGAAGUCGGUGAGCAUGAUAAAGAAGUCUGUGAGUUGUCAAUUGAUGGUCAGGGUUGUGAUAACGAGGAAGAAGAGAGAGAGUUGUUGAUUCUGAGGGUGAAGAUGUUGCUGGUGAUAAUGAGGAGGAAGAUGUUGCUGGUGUUGUGAAGGUAAGUAACAGUUUGUAUUUGUUGUAUAUGGUGUUAAAGGUAAGCAACAGACAUAGUUGUACUCAGUUGUAUGUGUUUGAAUAUGCAGAAUAUAGUUGAUGAUAUUGCUGUUGAGGAAGAGGAAGAGGAGAGGGUUAAUGAUGUUGCAGCUGAUACAGAUGAGGAUGAUGAUGAUGAGGAAUCCCAACCACUGCCGCCAGAGAGCAUGUACUUUAGUCCAACUGAGUACAACAAGGUAUGUAAGGUAGGUAGUAGGUGUAAAGUUGGCCAAACAGUGGCCAUGAUAGAGGCAUUUGAUGAGGAAGUUAGUUGGUUUAGGAAUCAUGCUCAGUUUAAGCAUAUAUUCCACAUGCCCAAGGAACCAAAUCACAUGAUUCAAGGCAUGUGGAUGCUUAUGCUUCGCACUGCUCGCACAGGUAUGGAGAAUGAGUGUUGGUUUGUUGUGAAUGGAGUGCCUAUAAGGUACUCCUUGAAAGAGCAUGCUUUGUUGACCGGGUUGGACUGCCAUGAGUACCCAAAGAAUCAUGAGAAGAAGGGUAGUUUGAGGUUUGUCAGGAGGAUGUUUGGGAGGACAGACCUAAUCAAAAUCAAAGAUGUAGAAAAGAAGUCGGCAUCUAUUAAGAGUGAGAAGUGUUUAGAUAGGAAGAAGUUGAUUAUUUUGUUGUUUUUAUGUGCGGUUGUGAAGGCUGAUUCUAAGGGUGAUGGGAACAUAGAGCAAUUCCUGUUAAGGAUUGUUGAUGAUGUUCAUGCUUGUGAGAUAUUCCCGUGGGGAAGGUAUUCUUUUGAGCAAUGUAUGACAAGGAUCCGGAGAAUGAUGAAAAACAUGAAAGGUGAGGUGAAACCAAAAGCACAGAGCAGCUUUUUUGGAUUCAUCACUCCUCUUGAGGUAAAAACUUGUGAAUAUUGUAAUGAGUUAGAGUGUUUAAGUUAUAGUAGUAAAACUGUGUUAUUGUGAAUGUGUAGAUUUUUGCAUUUGAGUGCAUACCACAGCUUGGAAGGCGAUUCAGAGAAGCUGUUCCCGCAGCUAAUGACUGUCCAAGAAUGUGCAAAUCUAAAUUCACUGACAGUUGCAUGAAGGGCUUUACCUUGGAUGAAAUAAACCAAGCCCUUGGUGAAAUUAAGGUUAGCUUUUGGUGCCUUUACUUCUCUUAGUAUGCAUAUUUAUUGAGAUUGAUGCUAUGUGUAUUUGACAGGAUAUCUCAAGCAUCUUGGAACCUGAUAUGGAUGAGAAAGAGAUGUUGUCUGGCCUUGUUGAGAAAGAUGUUGAUGAAGGGAUGGGAUUUAUUGAUCCAGUUGUUGAAGGUUGGAGAGAGCAGCUGAUCAGAAAAAAGAAUAAAAUCUGGUGGAAAAGUCUAUACCAUAUGGACUUGCAGGCUCGGGGUUUUGGUGAUGUUGUCCCUGAAGUGGCUGAGAGGCUUGGUGAUGUUAAAGAAAGUGAUGGUGAAGUCCCUGAGAGGCUUGGUGAUAUCCUCUCAUUACAGUCAGCUGUGGACAAAGGAUUUGCGAAGAUCAUGGAGAAGUUGUCUGAGAUGGAUAGCAAAGUGAGUAUGCUGGAUGGGAGAGUGAAAGACUUAGAGGGAUAUGUGUCAGUCCAGCUAGAGAAAGAGCGGUACAAUGAGUAUCAUCCAGGGACUUCAAGUGAUUUUGUGCCAACCUAUUGUACACCAACUGCUAAUCAACCAAUAGCGAGUCCGACAAAGGCUUUGGUCCUUCACAGUGGUUUCACAGACCCUAAGCCAAUCCAGAUUCAAGAAUUGAGUGAGUUUACAUUUUUGUAGUUUUUAUUGUAACAUACAUGUUCUAACAUUGGAGUUGUGUAGGUGAUGAAGGUGAUCAGGAGCAGCUGGCUAGGAAAGAGAAGGAGAACAAGAAGAAGAAAGCAGUGAGGCCGAAGCAUAGUGGCCCUACAAUCCAGACCGGGAAAAAGAGACAAAGGAAGGCUUCCAGGUUUCAGGCUGAAGAGUUUACAGCAGAGGGGAAGGGGAAGGGGAAGAAGCGGCAGAAGAAAUAGGUGAUCUUUAUGAGAGAUCACUCUUUAUGAGUAAUUGCUUUUGUGUGGGACAAAACUUAUAUUUUCUGAGUAUUUUGCGGUUAUCUUUUAUUAGGAUUCAAAACAUUGUACUAUCUUUUGGUAGUGUUGUGGUUUAGGUGCAUUUUUUGUAUUUGGGGUUUAGGAUGAUCCAAAAAUUAUAUUUUAAAAAAUUAUGCAUCUGGUCCAACUACUAACAAACGUGGGACAACUAUUAACACAAGUAGGACAACAGGAACAACUACUAGUAAUCCUGGGACAACUAUGUGAUGAACCAGGGACAACAGGGACAACUACUAACAAUACAGGGACAACUACUAUUAAGAACGAUGGACAACAGGGACAACUACUAACAAUACAGGGACAACUACUAAUAAUCCAGAGACAACUAUGUGGACAACCAGGGACAACUACUAAAUACAAUAUAUUUAAAUUUUAGUUGGACCAGUUGAACCAGUUGAACCAGGGACAACUACUAAAUACAAUAUAUUUAAAUUUUAGUUGGACCAGUUGAUCCAGGGACAACAACUAUUAAAAAUACUUAGUGAGUACAUAUAAGUCGGAGUUGUACCGGUUGAACCAAGUACAACUACCAUUACUGCAGGUACAACUACUAAUAAUACUUCAUGAAAACACAAUUCCAUAUCCAAAAUACAAAUUCAAAUAUUACAAAGAGUAGGUGGUAAUCAUACAAUAUUACCACCUUGAAAGUAACCCCCUAAGCCUCGCAAUCUCGACUUCUUUUGUGGCUAACCUCUCUUUAAGGUCAUCAAUUUCUUCACGCAUAAGACGAAGAGUUUCCCGGAUCGACUCCAAUGCAGGAUUUCCACCCCUCCCAUAUUCAAGAGAGGUUAACACGUCAUCUUUAUGUCUGUCAAAUAGGUGGUGUAUCUUGGACAGCUCCUCAGUUACCGCCCAAUCCCACCACUGAACUAGGUGAUCUCGAUUAUCCUUAUAUUCGUCUCCAUCCUAGGAAGAAUAUAAAAAGUUAAAACCAGCAAGUUGUACUUAGUUGUUCCAGAAUUGCAACUAAACCAUACCUUAAGCACUGGGCAUCUGUAUACGCGCUCUCCUUGGCGCUGUCCUGUUAGACAUCGCUCAAGUUUGACCAUCUCACCACAGAAACACCUCUCGGGAACACCAUAAUUGGCAUCUGCAUUACAUUCUCCAUUGUUGAUGCUUGCUACGGAUGUGGAGGGUUGGGAGUAACUAUGGGGCAUAUCUACGGUUUAGAAGAUGAGUAGAUCUGACCAUUCAAUCAAACAUAAAUCAAUUAAAUCUUAGUAAAUCCGAAUUAGUAGAAAGCAGAUCUAUGUGAGAGAAGUACCCAGAUUUCGCAAAAUUUGAAGAAAUCUGAAAACCCUAAUUUUUAGUGGUCUCGUGAAGAAGAGAGAAGAAGAAGAGAGAAAAGAAGAAGAAGAAGAAGUCGAGAUGUGAGAGAGAGAGAGAGAGAGUACUCUCCUUAUUAGAUGAGAAGACUAGUGUGAACACAUUUCUGUGGGACCGGUUUGAGUCAAAAACUAGUCAAAGACUAGUGUGAACACAUUUCUGUGGGACCCCCGAUAAAUAGAUUUUCUACAUAGUUGUCUUUAGAUGUUCAGUUGUCCUAAUUUCCUCACAGUUGAACUAUUUCUAAAUUUGUAAUUUUGUAGUUGAACCUUAAAAAAUACCAUAGAUAUCUAGUUGUUCACAUCAAUUUCCACAUUAUAUUGGUGUUUAAGAAGUUUUCAUAGAAUAAUUUGUCAGAAAACAUAGUUUCCAUACUUCUUCCAUCUUUAUAGAUGAUCUUGAACUAAUUGUUCCUUGUUACCUAAAGAGUGAUUUGUGUAAUUUUGGUUUUUGCUCAUAUUAAUUAUUGAUAAUGUUACAUAUCAUAUAUUAAAAGUAUUAAAUGUACUUUCAGAGUUUAAAAAUGUUUUAAUCACUUAUUAUGGUUUAAUUUAUGUAAUUUUGUAUUUUUUUGUAGUUUUAGUUGUUUCCAGUUGUAUCGGUUGAACCCAGAAACCAUUCUUGCUAAUAUUGUAAAGAAAUAAAAUAGUUUAUAUUACAAACUUAUAAAUAAUAAUCCAUAUAUUACAAAGUGAUAUUAGUCUUACAAAUAAAAAUACAAGUACAAAGUUGUUUAAGUUAUUCCGGUUGAACCCAAAUGGUUACACAGUUGUUCCAGUUGAACCAAAAUGGUCCAGUUGUUCCAGUUGAACCGGAUCGGUAAAGUAGUUGUACCGGUUGAACCAGGGAAUUAAUCAAGAUGCUUCUUGAUAGUAAGAUUUUAACUAAGAUCAAUUAUCCUUAAAUCACUAUCAUGUCAUUGUAGUAUUUAAGGUGUCAAUCCAAAUGGGUGUGAUGCUAGCAAUCAAGAUGCAAUCAGAUUUUACAGAGUCAAGCUAAGCAAUAACAGGUUUUGAUGUUGUUAACAAUCCUAAGUGAUCAUGCAAAAACAGAAAUUAUAACAGAAAUAUCUAAUAUACUCGACCAACACAGCCUGAUGCCAAGCACUGGGUGUUGUCGAGUAUCAGGUCGAGUAACAGCAGAAAGUGCAAUAAAACUACUCUACCACACAGUCCGUUUGCCAGACACUGGAUGUGGUCGAGUAACAGGUCGAGUACCAAAUGGAAACUGCAGUAAAACUACUCUACCACACAGUUCGUUUCCAAACCGCUGGGUGUGGUCGAGUACUUCAAGUGAAAUAAGUAAAAAUGCAAAAACUAAGCAACAAGUAACGAGAUCAAGCAAUCAAUAGCGAUGUGAACAAAGAAAUCAAUUGGAAGAGAAAUUCCCGAGGAUGGGGUAAUCGAGUAGUGAAGUCUCCUUAAUCUAACAGGUGGUUAACAUGCUCAACAAACUAUCCCUAGACAACAAGUUCAAUAGCCAAAUCAAAGUGCUACCGCAACAGAGAUCCUCAAGCAAAGCUAGUCCCAGACUCAAUCACCAUUGACGAGAGCUAACCUAACAGGCAUUACGAAACAACAAGUCUAAGCCAAAACGCUCCCUGUAACCAAUACCUUGGUACAGAGCCACGAAUCUCUGGAAUUAGUGGUUCAGACAUUUCAUCGAACACCUUUUGGGUGCGGAAAUGUCUGGGCUCAGAUUCCAGUUGAUCAGAAAGCAAUCAGCAUUAAGAACAACUAAUCCAGAAGGGAUCUACCAAUCAAACUCAACCACCUAGCAGAUCAAGGAUUCUAAACUACUCUAACCCAUCCUCAAGAACCCUAAUCACUACUCAAAACUCAUGAACAUGAACAUAAACCCAGAAAUGCAUAAAAACUUCAUACUAGCAAGAUCUCAACAAGAUGAACAACUUUGUAGAAGAAAUCAAAAGCAAAUACUCAAUAGAUUAAGAGAAAUCUGGAUUACAAAUAUGAAGAAAGCACUAAUUGUUCUGCAGAAAAAGACUUAGUCUCAAAAUUAUGAGAAACAACCUAUUUAUAGCAAAUACUAGGAAACCCUAAAUCACAAGACGACAAAGUAUUAAGGCGGUUUACGGAGACAUUCGGCUUUGUGCAAUCGAGUGAAGAAGUCGAGCAAAGCUGGCUCCUUUGCGGUUUCUUGAUCUGGUCGUGAUGCAAUCGAGUACCUAGGUCGAGUGGUAAGUCGAGUAAUGCUUCAUCCUCUUCUCUUCCUUAUGCUCAGUGUCUGGUUGAGUUGGGAUCUGAGAAGACUUUGAAGCUUGUGAUUAAGUGGCUGUGGGGGGGGUGGAGAUCGAGCAUCCAGUCGAGUGGCUGAAGAAGAUGGUGCUCGACCACGAGGUCGAGUGGUAGGUCGAGUUGGUGAAGGAGACGGUACUCGACCACGAGGUCGAGUGGUCAGUCGAGUGGUCAUCUGAAGACGAGGUCGAGUGGUGAUCUGAAGAGUCUGCUGGUGAUGCUCGACCGCGCAAUCCACUUGGUGAUGAGGAGAUGUGGUCGAGUGAUCUUGAGAGGCUGGCUGCUGAGAGUGCUCGACUGUGCAGGUCGAGUGAUACUGUUGGUUUUGCUCUGCUUCUCCCAAUCUGCUCGCCAACAGCUCCAAAUCACCUGAAAACACUCAAAUAUGCAACAUGCAUGCAAAUCUAUCCUAAACAUGUAAAGUGAUGACAAGUGAUGAGAAAUGGUAUGAAACAAUGACAAAAUGAUGAUAAAGUGAUGCUAAAUGGAUGCUUAAAACAUGUGAAAUAUACACAUAUCAACUCCCCCAAACUUAUUCUUUGCUUGCCCUCAAGCAAACAAUUAAGAACAAGCUGGAGGAGAGGUUUGAAAGCGGGGACUCGGAACCAAAGCAUGCAGACAAAGCAAAUGAACUCAAUGUCCAAGUUAGUAAUUGUGGAAUGCUUAGAGACCAAACUCUACUUAAAAACUUUCCAUUCUGACUCAUGUGGCACUACAAACAACGUCCUGUAAUAUGCCAAUGCCCAAGUAUCAAUCAAAUAAAAGACGGAGCAAAGUCCAUAUAUGCUUACAUCUGCAUUUCUCCCUUCCUUGCGGGCUAGGAACCUUGCUGCGGCAAUGGCAUGGACACACGGGUACUUGUCUAUAUCAAAUGUCUUGCAAGAACAAGUUUUCAUUUUCAAAUCCACCAAAAAGCUGACCGACAUCCCAUCAAUGACGUUGUAUUCUUGUCUAUAACUGUUAAGCUCAACAACUUUUAACUUCGCAGCAACUGGACAUCGAGCAUGCAAGAUGUUCUCCACAAAAGGCACAACCUGUGAUGUGCUCGAUGCAUUACCUGAAUCUUGCCUAUGGUUGUUAAACCAUUCAGAGAACUUCUCAACCAUGGCAUCAAUCAUAGGUAAGAGGUCAUACUUCCUCGCUUUCUUAAACACAGCGUUCAUGGACUCCGCAGCAUUGCUAGUGUCUAUGUUGUACUUGUCUCCUUGGUAAUGGUACCUAGACCACUGCUCUCUAUCUAUGGCUUNNNNNNNNNNNNNNNNNNNNNNNNNNNNNNNNNNNNNNNNNNNNNNNNNNNNNNNNNNNNNNNNNNNNNNNNNNNNNNNNNNNNNNNNNNNNNNNNNNNNUUUUGACGUAAUCGACAUGCCUACGUAUCUGUUCUCUGUUUUCCAUAUUCUGUUAAAGUAUUUAUUAUUUCAUGUAUAUAUUUUCUAAUUAGGAACAGUUUUAGCAAUAAAUUCUAAAACACAUACCUAAAUAAAUGAUUAGGAAUAUAAGACAUACCACGACAUAUCUUAUGCACCAUGUUCGGUGAUUGAAUUUUAUAUAUUCGUAAAAUAAAAAAUAUAAUUAUUGUUUUUAAAAUUUAACUCACAUUUAUUUAAAUUUAUGGUCAUAUGACCUAAAAACCAAGAUACUUAUUCAAUGAUGAUAUUGUAAAACUAAAUAUGAAAAGAUUAAAUGUAAAAAAAUGAAAGACAAGUUUGUGAAUAAAAUAAUAAUGGAUGAAAAUUUGAUAUUUACUAUUUUGACUCUCUUUUCUAUUAUAAUUUUUGAAUGUGAAAAAUUAGUCAAUUUAAUUCAUCAAUUUAUAUUAUGUAUAUUAUGUAUAUUUUACAAUUUCAAUUUUUAAAGAUUGAGCAAGUUUUAAGAUUUUUCAAUAUAAGUGUGCAACACACUUCGCAUAUUUUUACAGUGUUUGCUAAUUUAAAACGUAAUAACAAUCAUCCAUUGAAAUUCUAAUUUUAAUUUUUCUGGAAUCGUGCUUUUAUAGCGCUUCUAAAUUCAUGUUGUUUCUUGAAAGGUCAUUACACCUUCAAGCAAGCCUUUUUGCAAUCUAAUUAAAAUUGUUAUAAAUUAUUGUUAUGUAAAACUGGGAAAAACAAAGUGACUCGUUUAUAAUGCUAUUAUUAUAUCGUUGAAAAUUUUGGAUACAAAUCGUAAACCUAAUCUUAUUUUUCAACUAAAAAAAAAGAAAAAAAAAAGGAAUCGUUAAGGUGAGGGGUAAUUAAAUUCUACUUUUUGGUAGGAGGAAGUGCGCCAACAGUUUUUGAACAUUGUUCCUUUAGCAUAGGAGGAAAAAAUGGAUUGAAUGGAAGUUGUGGAAUGCAAUUGGUUUCAGCUUCCAAAAUUGCUUUGCAACAAGCAGGGCCUAUGUUUCCAAACUUUCCAAUGAGUAUAGAUUGCGAAAACUCUGCGAUACACCCUGGAAUAUUCAUAAAAUAUGUCAAACAUUUUGUUAUAUCAGGCAAUCCUGGUACACCGGGACUCGGUAGGAAUGGAAAUGGAAAAGGAAACGGUGCCGGAAAUUGUGGUAAUUGAGCAUUUGCAGACAGUGCAAUGCAUAAAACCGCUAAGAGAAAAAACACGUUUUUGAAAGCCAUGAUGAAAGAAAAAAGGAUGUUUGAAAUAUUCAAAUAUAUGAUUCUUUAUCGUGUUUGCUGUUGAGUGAUGAACAAUACUAAGAUCAGUUGUUAUUUAUAGGGGAAGAAAUGAGCUAUGGUGUUACUAAUUGUAUUUGUCUCCAUAAAACGUCUUUCAAAGUUUUAUUAGAUAAUCAAUAAGCUUGCAGUUUCUUAUUUUCUUAUUGAAUGAGAAGUUACUAAAAUUAAAAGAGAGUCCACAGCCACCUUGAUGAGACGAUUGACAUUAAUAGGAAAAUAUUAACUACUUAGACUAUUGAUGAGAGGACAAAGGAGAUGAUAUAUAUGGUAAGACACAAUUAGAAAACCCAGUUUAGGGGUUUCAACUCUAUUAAAACCAUCUUAAAAAAUAUGACCUUUAUCUUUAAUAUAACAAAAAAUCCAAUAUUGUUAAGGGUUUCGAGGUNNNNNNNNNNNNNNNNNNNNNNNNNNNNNNNNNNNNNNNNNNNNNNNNNNNNNNNNNNNNNNNNNNNNNNNNNNNNNNNNNNNNNNNNNNNNNNNNNNNNAAUCUUGAGUCUGACAGGCUUAGCGAGAAAAACCAGACUUUUAUGAAUAUAUAUAUAUAUAUAUAUCGAGCCCGCUAUUUUUAGGGCUUUUGACGUAAUCGACAUGCCUACGUAUAUGUUCUCUCUUUUCCAUAUUCUGUUAAAGUAUUUAAUAUUUCAUGUAUAUAUUUUCUAAUUAGGAACAGUUUUAGCAAUAAAUUCUAAAACACAUACCUAAAUAAAUGAUUAGGAAUAUAAGACAUACCACGACAUAUCUUAUGCACCAUGUUCGGUGAUUGAAUUUUAUAUAUUCGUAAAAUAAAAAAUAUAAUUAUUGUUUUUAAAAUUUAACUCACAUUUAUUUAAAUUUAUGGUCAUAUGACCUAAAAAACAAGAUACUUAUUCAAUGAUGAUAUUGUAAAACUAAAUAUGAAAAGAUUAAAUGUAAAAAAAUGAAAGACAAGUUUGUGAAUAAAAUAAUAAUGGAUGAAAAUUUGAUAUUUACUAUUUUGACUCUCUUUUCUAUUAUAAUUUUUGAAUGUGAAAAAUUAGUGAAUUUAAUUCAUCAAUUUAUAUUAUGUAUAUUUACAAUUUCAAUUUUUAAAGAUUGAGCAAGUUUUAAGAUUUUUCAAUAUAAGUGUGCAACACACUUCGCAUAUUUUUACAGUGUUUGCUAAUUUAAAACGUAAUAACAAUCAUCCAUUGGAAUUCUAAUUUUAAUUUUUCUGGAAUCGUGCUUUUAUAGCGCUUCUAAAUUCAUGUUGUUUUGAUAUCUCAGUAUUUUACCUCUUUUUAGCACACAUUUCUUAUGCAUUUAGCUUAGUUUCCUCUCUGUUUCACUGCAUUAAUAGUCCUUUUUCAUAAGAUUUUCAUCACUUAGUACGAUUUGCAUUGCAUGGCAUAGCAUGUUGCAUAUUGGAUGAGUUUUAGGUACUUUGGAGCUUAUUUGGGACUUAAUGGAGCAAGGAGGAACUAACACGACCUUGGGGCUAGACUUGGGAUCGAAUUGGAGAGGAUUGAAGUCGUUCAAGAUGACCCGGGAGCAGACUCGACGUCAUGGCUCGAUGACACGUCGAGUAGGACGCCAAGAAGCCGCCUGGGAGCAGACUCGACCAGACGGACUCGACGACACGUCGAGUAGGACGCCAAGAAGCAGCCUGGGAGCAGACUCGACGUGGCAGGCUCGACGACACGUCGAGAUGGACAUCAAGGCGCCACCUUUGAGAAUCACAUGGUCUCGACGUGGCAGGCUCGACGACACGUCGAGUUGGCCUCCACCGACUCUCUAUUUUGUCCUGUAGCCAAUUAGGGCAACCUAGUAUUUCCUAUAAAUAGGGGUACAUGCUAUUGUCCAGGAUAUAUUCCUUUUACCCAGCAGAUAUUCCUUUGUUCUCUCAUAAACCCUAGUUUUUGUAAUCGUUUUUCCUGUUGAUCCUUUGAGUUUUUGCAUUUCUUUUCUUCAUCAAAGUUGUAGAUCUGUCUCUUAUCUAUAACAUACUUGCUUUUCAAUGAUUUCUGGGUUUGAAAUGUUUUCUGGGUUUUUAUGCAUGAUGUUCUUCAGUGUUCUUGAGUAGUGGAUUAGGGUUCUUGAGGAUGGGUUAGAUUAGGUGUGGAAUCCUUAGUAUAUUUAGGUGGUUAAGUGUAGAAUUGCUUGAUUUCCCUUCUGGUUUAGUAGAUCUUAAUGCUAUUUCCUCUCUGAUCAAUUGGAAGUUGAUCUCAGACAUUUCCACACUCAAAAGGUGUUUGAUGAAAUGUCUGAACCAACUAUUCCAGAGAUUUGCAUACUCUAGCCCAAGAGAUUGGAUGUUUAGAAUGCUUAUUGACUUUAUUAGAUUGAAUCAUAAUGCCUGAUAGGUUAUAUUUCUUCAAUGAGAAUUGAGUAUGAAAGUGAUUUAGCUUGAGAAUCUCUGUCACGAGAGUGGAUUGAUUUGUAUUCGAAUCUAUUGUCUAGGGAUAGCUUGAUUGAGUUUGUUAACCACCUAGGUAGACUAAGGAGACUGCCAUAAUCGAUUACCCCAUUCCUCAGGACCUUUUAUCUCAAUUGAUUGUUUACAUCUUGCUUCUGUUAGUCUUUGUGUUCUACUCGACCUGUUAGGCCUAGAGCGCUUCUCUGCAUUGUUAGGUUGUUAGUUUAUUUUCCAAAGCUUUUGCAUGAUAGUCUCUGGUCUUUAGUUUACUUCUUGUCCUUGUUUACUUGCUGUUUAGUUCUCUUUUUAUGCUUUUAAAUCCAGUAUUUGCAUGUUAAAUUGGUUGCUUAGGAUCAAUAGAAACACACAAAACCUUUUCACAAUUGGCUUGACUUAUUUGCUUUCUGUUUCAUAUCUUGAAUGCUUGCAGUCACACUGAGAUUGGAUUGAUAACCUAAUAUACUACAAUGGCAUGUGUAUUAGGGAUUGAUACCUGUUAGAGAGCAAAAUCUUACUAUCAAUUUGGCGCCGUUGCCAGUCUUGUGUUGCAUUGUUCCAUUUAAGAUUUCAGAAACGUUUAAGAUCAAGUUCUUUCUUUACCUUGGUUACUAACUCUUCAUUUCAUCUGCUUGUUUUUGUGCUCCAGGUACCAUCUCGACCUCACGUCGAGACUGCCACAUCGAGUCUGACCACCCUGCAUUGUUAGGUACCAUCUCGACCUCACGUCGAGACUGCACAUCGAGUCUGACCACUCUGCAUGCAAACUCGAUCUAAAGGCUCCAACAACCUCAUCAGCUAUAAAGACAACAUCGAUCGGUUAGCUCGUGAGUUAAGAGAAGGUAGAGCCCGAGACAACUGUGAACCGCACAAUCCAGUAGCCAUGGAACCACAAGAUCAAGAUAAUCAAGGAGUUGGUAUACCACGGAACAUUGGUGAUGGUGAUGCACCACGCAACCAUCAACAGAGACAGGGCAUCGUUCCACCUCCUGUCCAGAACAACAAUUUCGAGAUCAAGAGUGGAUUGAUCUCAAUGAUUCAAGGUAACAAGUUUCAUGGGUUGCCUCUGGAAGACCCCUUGGAUCACUUGGAUAAUUUUGAUAGGCUCUGCAGCCUCACCAAGAUCAAUGGUGUUAGUGAAGACAGCUUCAAGCUGCGUCUGUUUCCCUUCUCGCUGGGAGACAAAGCACACCACUGGGAGAAGACACUACCUGCUGGCUCCAUCACAUCUUGGGAUGAUUGCAAGAAGGCAUUCUUAACAAAGUUCUUCUCCAAUUCAAGAACUGCACGUCUACGAAAUGAAAUCUCCAGUUUUACACAAAACCAGUCGGAAUCCAUUUGUGAGGCCUGGGAGAGAUUCAAAGGCUACACUAUACAGUGUCCACACCAUGGUUUCAAGAAGGCUUCACUACUCAGCACACUCUACAGGGGAGUUUUGCCCAAGAUCAGAAUGUUGCUAGACACUGCCUCUAAUGGGAAUUUCUUGAAUAAGGAUGUUGAGGAAGGCUGGGAAUUGAUAGAGAACUUAGCUCUAUCUGAUGGUAACUAUAACGAGGAAUUUGAUCGCUCCAACAGAGGUAAUGGAGAUCCGGAUGCAAAGCAUACUAAGGAGAUGGUUCAGGCUCUCAACGACAAGCUGGAUAAAUUUCUGCUUACUAACCAGAAACCAGUCCACUAUAUCACUGAAGAAGAGCACUAUCAAAUCCAAGAGGGGGAGAACACUCAGGCUGCAGAAGUCAGCUACGUUCAGAACCAAGGUGGCUACAACAAGGGCUACAACCCCUACAUGCCUGCUCAUCCUAAUCUAUCUUACCGGAGCACGAAUGUUGCAAACCCUCAAGAUCAGGUUUACCCUCAGCAACAACAGAACCAGUCCAAGCCAUUCAUACCAUACAAUCAAGGCUUUGUCCCAAAGCAGCAGUUUAGUGACGGUUAUCAACAAUAUAAUCCACCACCAGGUUUUGCACAGCAACCCCAGCCAGCUCCACCUGCACAAGAUCAAGACAUGAAGCAAAUGCUUCAGCAGAUUCUACACGGCCAAGUAGCUAGUGAUAAGAAGAUGGCUGAGAUUCAAAACAAGAUUGAGGCUCUAAACUCCAAGGUGAAGUACAUGGAAAGCCAAGCUGCUUCUACUUCUGCACCUACACACCCCGGACAACUACCCGGGAAAGCUAUUCAGAAUCCAAAGGAGUACGGUCAUGUUAAUGCUAUUCACCUUCGCAGUGGUCGAGAGCUGCAAACUCGACCUAGCAUAGCUCCUGUCACUGAGGACAGUGAGAUUCAAGAGGGGGAGGAUUUCAUUCAGCAUGAAACUCAAGUCGAUGACACCACUAAGCUCGACCAAGAUGCUGUACCUCGUGAUCAAGUCCAGAGCCCCCAGAUCAAAGAACCAGUUGUUGAUAAGAGUAAGAAGAAAGCUUUCGUUCCACCACCCUACAAGCCCAAAAUACCAUUCCCAGGAAGAUUCAAGAGGGAUAUCAUUGAGAAGUACAGAGCCAUGUUUGCUAAACACAUCAAGAAGAUUGAAUUGAGGAUGCCUCUCAUUGAUGCUUUCAUGCUGAUUCCGGAUUCUCACAAGUACUUCAAAGACAUGGUAAUGGAGAGAAUUAAGGAAGUGCAAGGGAUGGAGAGUCAUGAGUGCAGUGAAAUCAUCCAAACGAAGAUUAUUCCUAAGAAAUUAGGAGAUCCUGGUUC
RNAcentral lists this long non-coding RNA (18307 nucleotides) under Arabidopsis lyrata. RNAcentral's name for it is "long non-coding RNA (ALYR_LNC001987)". Lineage: Eukaryota; Viridiplantae; Streptophyta; Magnoliopsida; Brassicales; Brassicaceae. The record is from RNAcentral.